GUGUCAGCCGCCGCGGUAAUACGGAGGGUGCGAGCGUUGUCCGGAAUCAUUGGGUGUAAAGGGUGCGUAGGCGGGCUGCUAAGUCUGGGGUGAAAUCCUGCCGCUUAACGGUAGAAUGGCCCCCGAUACUGGCAGUCUUGAGUACAGAGGAGGUCGGUGGAAUUCGUAGUGUAGCGGUGAAAUGCAUAGAUAUUACGAAGAACACCAGUGGCGAAGGCGGCCGGCUGGUCUGUAACUGACGCUGAGGCACGAAAGCGUGGGGAGCGAACAGGAUUAGAUACCCUGGUAGUCCACGCUGUAAACGAUGUAUGCUAGGUGUCGGCCUUUCGGGGUCGGUGCUGCAGUUAACGCAGUAAGCGAUCCGCCUGGGGAGUACGGCCGCAAGGUUAAAACUCAAAUGAAUUGACGGGG
Molecule: ribosomal RNA, 411 nt
Filed under: uncultured prokaryote
Description: bacterial SSU rRNA
Rfam family: Bacterial small subunit ribosomal RNA
Source: RNAcentral